UACGAGGGGGGCAAAUGUUGUUCGGAAUCACUGGGCGUAAAGGGAGCGUAGGCGGGUUUCUAAGUCAGGUGUUUAAUCCCGGGGCCCAACCCCGGACAGGCACUUGAAACUGGGAAUCUUGAAUAGUGGAGAGGUCAGUGGAAUUGGGGGUGUAGCGGUGAAAUGCGUAGAUAUCACUUGGAACGCCAAAGGUGAAGACAGUCUGCUGGGGAUUUGCUGACGCUGAGACACGAAAGCCAGGGGAGCGAACGGG
This 253-nucleotide ribosomal RNA is filed under the name uncultured bacterium. RNAcentral describes it as "partial 16S ribosomal RNA". It matches the Rfam family "Bacterial small subunit ribosomal RNA", at positions 524 to 776 of the family's 1533-position model. The record is from RNAcentral.